This 274-nucleotide ribosomal RNA is filed under the name uncultured prokaryote. RNAcentral's name for it is "partial 16S ribosomal RNA". It matches the Rfam family "Bacterial small subunit ribosomal RNA", at positions 524 to 798 of the family's 1533-position model. The record is from RNAcentral.
UACGUAGGGGGCGAGCGUUAUCCGGAAUUAUUGGGCGUAAAGAGUGCGUAGGUGGUUGUUUAAGCGUGGGGUGAAAGGCAAUGGCUUAACCAUUGUGAGCCUCGCGAACUGGGCGACUUGAGUGCAGGAGAGGAAAGCGGAAUUCCUAGUGUAGCGGUGAAAUGCGUAGAUAUUAGGAGGAACACCAGUGGCGAAGGCGGCUUUCUGGACUGUAACUGACACUGAGGCACGAAAGCGUGGGGAGCAAACAGGAUUAGAUACCCUGGUAGUCCCU